This 326-nucleotide ribosomal RNA is filed under the name Dolerus ephippiatus. RNAcentral describes it as "partial 12S ribosomal RNA". Lineage: Eukaryota; Metazoa; Arthropoda; Insecta; Hymenoptera; Tenthredinidae. The record is from RNAcentral.
AUUAAUAGUUAUAUUCUUUAAACUUAAAAAAAUUGGCGGUAUUUAAAUCUAAUUAGGGGAACUUGUUUAUUAAAUGAUAAUCCGCAAGAUACCUUACUUUAGUUUAUUUAAUUUAUUUAUUGUCGUUAACAGAUUAUUUUUUAAGAAUUUAAAUUUUCAUAAUUUUUUAAAAGAAAUUAUUUCAGAUCAUUAUGUAGUUUAUAUUAAAGUUUAAAUGAGUUACAAUAAAAUUUAUUUAAUUUAUGGAUAUUAUAUUGAAAUAUAUAAUUUAAAGUGGACUUAAUAGUAAAAUUUAAAAUUAUAUUUUUUUGAAUUAAGAAUUAAAU